RNAcentral lists this unclassified non-coding RNA (349 nucleotides) under soil metagenome. RNAcentral describes it as "partial contains 5.8S ribosomal RNA, internal transcribed spacer 2, and large subunit ribosomal RNA". The stretch from base 1 to 121 matches the Rfam family "5.8S ribosomal RNA", at positions 35 to 154 of the family's 154-position model. The record is from RNAcentral.
GAUGAAGGAACGUAGCAAAAUGCGAUAAGUAAUGUGAAUUGCAGAAUUCAGUGAAUCAUCGAAUCUUUGAACGCACAUUGCGCCCGCUGGUAUUCCGGCGGGCAUGCCUGUUCGAGCGUCAUUUCAACCCUCAAGCCCCCGGGUUUGGUGUUGGGGAUCGGCUCUGCCCUUCUGGGCGGUGCCGCCCCCGAAAUACAUUGGCGGUCUCGCUGCAGCCUCCAUUGCGUAGUAGCUAACACCUCGCAACUGGAACGCGGCGCGGCCAUGCCGUAAAACCCCAACUUCUGAAUGUCGACCUCGGAUCAGGUAGGAAUACCCGCUGAACUUAAGCAUAUCAAUAAGCGGAGGA